Molecule: long non-coding RNA, 1574 nt
Organism: Anopheles funestus (African malaria mosquito)
Lineage: Eukaryota; Metazoa; Arthropoda; Insecta; Diptera; Culicidae
Exons: 3
Source: RefSeq, a predicted model, not a curated record
GUCUCCUUUCUUUCACUGGAAAAUUGCUUUUGCCCUGUCUUUGGCGUAUUCAUAUGAGUUUGGCCUUUGCUGGAGGCGGAGGUGUGUGCGCAAGCGUUAUCGUGUUUUGUGAAGUGAUUCUUUGCUCCGGUAAGUAAUGUGAAAACUAGUGAUUGUGAUAAGUGAAUUAAUUCUAUUCCUUGUGUUUUGUGCGUAGUGAAUCCCAUCGAGUCGAUCAGCUGAUGGAAAGAGUUUGGCCGUGAAGCGGAAAGGGUGAAGCCGGAGUUAAACCGCAGGAUGACAGGACAAAUCACAUCGAGAGAGAGUGCUGAAUACUCGCCGUCUUGAGAGAAACCUCUGCCGAACAUAGGAACCCCAUCCCACCGUCCGCUUCGCAGAACGCCGGCAGUUUUUUUUACCUGUUCGUCGCAUGAUGAGCGUAUGUGCAAUAAAAAAAGGGAUCGUAUGUAUUUCCUGGUAAUUAUUUCGUUGACGGUCGUGGUGUGUUCGGGACGAGGGUGUCCCGAAUGCAGCAAUAGGAAAGAAAGGGAAAGCGAGAAAGAACAAAAAAGCGAAGGAAAGAACGGGACACACUGAAGCUUAUUAGGCUACCAACGCUUAUUAUAAAUAAGCCUGCAAGCUUGCAGGCUAUAUACAACCCACUUGGCAGAAAUCGCAUGAGAGGGGGGAAAUUUCUUCAUUCUCGCUACCCCUGACCCUCACUUUCGAGCGAUCGUACGACAAACUCUCACUCCACCACCCUACCUCGCUCACACACGCUCCUAUAUUCUAUGUAAACCCUCACCGCAACCUGCGUCACCAACCCACCCCACACCUGAACGGUCCCAUACUCGAAGUGUUAGACAAUUUUGGUUCCACACUUUGAAGCCUGUCGAGGAGUGUGGCACUAUAUUGUUUUUCGCUGUCUCCUUUCUUUCACUGCAAAAUUGCUUUUGCCCUGUCUUUGGCGUAUUCAUAUGAGUUUGGCCUUUGCUGGAGGCGGAGGUGUGUGCGCAAGCGUUAUCGUGUUUUGUGAAGUGAUUCUUUGCUCCGGUAAGUAAUGUGAAAACUAGUGAUUGUGAUAAGUGAAUUAAUUCUAUUCCUUGUGUUUUGUGCGUAGUGAAUCCCAUCGAGUCGAUCAGCUGAUGGAAAGAGUUUGGCCGUGAAGCGGAAAGGGUGAAGCCGGAGUUAAACCGCAGGAUGGCAGGACAAAUCACAUCGAGAGAGAGUGCUGAAUACUCGCCGUCUUGAGAGAAACCUCUGCCGAACAUAGGAACCCCAUCCCACCGUCCGCUUCGCAGAACGCCGGCAGUUUUUUUUUACCUGUUCGUCGCAUGAUGAGCGUAUGUGCAAUAAAAAAGGGAUCGUAUGUAUUUCCUGGUAAUUAUUUCGUUCACGGUCGUGGUGUGUUCGGGACGAGGGUGUCCCGAAUGCAGCAAUAGGAAAGAAAGGGAAAGCGAGAAAGAAAAAAAGCGAAGGAAAGAACGGGACAAAAUAAAGCUAAUUUUUUGGCUUCCCGGCUUAUUAUAAAUAAGCUUGGGAGCUUCCAUGCUUGCAAGCUUGCAUGCUCGUAUGCAAGCGUACAUACACCCCGC